This is a long non-coding RNA of Felis catus (domestic cat), 584 nucleotides long. RefSeq lists it as uncharacterized. The transcript has 2 exons. Lineage: Eukaryota; Metazoa; Chordata; Mammalia; Carnivora; Felidae. The record is from RefSeq and is a predicted model, not a curated record.
UCCACCACCGUCUCACAAAACGUGACAACGGGAUCAGCCACCUGGGAAACAGAAUAAAUUGUUAGGCAAGAUCUAAUUUUGUUGGAAGGACAACAUUCUGCCAAAGGGAAUUCUGAGGUUCCCUUGGCACUACCUUUGUGACAAAUCCCUGUCUUAAUCAGCAUCAGCAAUGAGUACAAUAGCACGUGAGAAGUCCUUACCAGCACUAAGGAGACUGAGAAAACUUCGUGGAGUAUGGAGUUUAUGUUCCUGAGCCAAGAGUACGUGGGAGUCAAACCUGGGCCUAAAGUAUCAUCCCCCAAGGAUGCUUUCAAGAUGAGAAAUUCGAGUCACAGAAGAAUCAGGUGGCUGACCCAGGUCUCACCACAUGGAAGGGCCAGGGCCACAAUAGGAACAAGAUUCAGGUCUUUCUCAAUAGGUCUAGGGCUCAUUCUACUAUAUCGCCUGCCUUCUGUGCCACUUAAAUAGAGGAGACAGGAGCUUAGGAGAAAAGAAAUCUGAGCCUGCUGCUUUUCCCAGUAUUUCCCAUUGCUUAUGAGUCUAUUUACAUCACUUAUGAGUCUCGUAAAAAUACUAGAACCUUG